AAAGUCUUGGUCCUGAACUUACCGUUAUUUUUUAUUGAAAUUAUACAUGCAAGCCUCAGCGCACCAGUGAAAAUGCCCACAACCCCUGUAACAGAAAAAGUGGAGCAGGCAUCAGGCACCACACUAGAGCCCAUAACGCCUUGCCAAGCCACACCCACACGGGCCAACCAGCAGUAAUUAACAUUGGGAUAUGAGUGAAAACUUGACCCAGCUACAAUAAUCAUAGGGCCGGUUAAUUUCGUGCCAGCCACCGCGGUUAUACGAAAGGCCAAAAUUAACGACAAAACGGCGUAAAAUGUGACUAGAGAAUUAUAAUAUUAUAAAAAUUUUAAACUCAUAAACAGUUGUAAAACACUAAGUUAAUGAGGAAACCCAUAAAUAAAUCUUUUAAUAUUACCCCUUGACCACACGAAAGCUUAGAAACAAACUAGGAUUAGAUACCCUACUAUGCUAAGCCAUAAACAUUGAUAGAUAAAUUACAAUACUUUCCGCCAGAGAACUACAAGUGAAAAACUUGAAACUCAAAGGACUUGGCGGUGUCCCACAUUCAGCCUAGAGGAGCCUGUCCUAUAAUCGAUACCCCACGUUUUACCUCACCCUCACUAGCACUAACCCAGCCUAUAUACCGCCGUCGACAGCUUACCCCAUGAGGGAAAAAUAGUAAGCAAAAUAGCCCCCCGCUAAUACGUCAGGUCAAGGUGUAGCUUAUGUGACGGAAGAGAUUGGCUACAUUUUUUAUAUUAAAAAACACGGAAUGCUACAUGAAAAAUAACAUGAAGGCGAAUUUAGUAGUAAGACAGACAAGAGAACCUAUCUUAAUAGUGCUCUGGGACGCGCACACACCGCCCGUCACCCUCCUCGACAACCAAUAAUCAAUCCAUAAUACAUGCUUUUAACCAAAGAUGAGGCAAGUCGUAACAUGGUAAGCGUACCGGAAGGUGUGCUUGGACUAA
Molecule: non-coding RNA, 953 nt
Filed under: Psammodromus algirus
Lineage: Eukaryota; Metazoa; Chordata; Lepidosauria; Squamata; Lacertidae
Description: 12S ribosomal RNA
Rfam family: Bacterial small subunit ribosomal RNA
Source: RNAcentral